RNAcentral lists this ribosomal RNA (468 nucleotides) under uncultured bacterium. RNAcentral's name for it is "partial 16S ribosomal RNA". It matches the Rfam family "Bacterial small subunit ribosomal RNA", at positions 28 to 507 of the family's 1533-position model. The record is from RNAcentral.
GACGAACGCUGGCGGCGUGCUUAACACAUGCAAGUCGAACGGAAAGGCCCUGCUUUUGUGGGGUGCUCGAGUGGCGAAAGGGUGAGUAACACGUGAGUAACCUGCCCUUGACUUUGGGAUAACUUCAGGAAACUGGGGCUAAUACCGGAUAGGAGCUCCUGCUGCAUGGUGGGGGUUGGAAAGUUUCGGCGGUUGGGGAUGGACUCGCGGCUUAUCAGCUUGUUGGUGGGGUAGUGGCUUACCAAGGCUUUGACGGGUAGCCGGCCUGAGAGGGUGACCGGCCACAUUGGGACUGAGGUACGGCCCAGACUCCUACGGGAGGCAUCAGUGGGGAAUAUUGCACAAUGGGCGGAAGCCUUAAGCAGCAACGCCGCGUGCUGGAUGACUGCCUUCGGGUUGUAAACCGCUUUCGCCUGUGACGAAGCGUGAGUGACGGUAAUGGGUAAAGAAGCACCGGCUAACUACGUG